Molecule: ribosomal RNA, 415 nt
Filed under: uncultured Gammaproteobacteria bacterium
Lineage: Bacteria; Pseudomonadati; Pseudomonadota; Gammaproteobacteria
Description: bacterial SSU rRNA
Rfam family: Bacterial small subunit ribosomal RNA
Source: RNAcentral
UGCAUAGGAAUCUGCCUGUUAGUGGGGGACAACGUGUGGAAACGCACGCUAAUACCGCAUACGCUCCUGGUCUGUUAAAGAACAGGAGGAAAGCGGGGGACCUUCGGGCCUCGCGCUAACAGAUGAGCCUAUGUUAGAUUAGCUUGUUGGUAGGGUAAAGGCCUACCAAGGCAACGAUCUAUAGCUGGUCUGAGAGGAUGAUCAGCCACACUGGGACUGAGACACGGCCCAGACUCCUACGGGAGGCAGCAGUGGGGAAUAUUGGACAAUGGGCGCAAGCCUGAUCCAGCAAUACCGCGUGUGUGAAGAAGGCCCGAGGGUUGUAAAGCACUUUCAAUAGGGAGGGAACACCUGUUUAGAUAAUAUCGGGACAGGACUGACAUUACCUAUAGAAGAAGCACCGGGCUAACUCCGU